ACCCAGAAGCCCGCCUCGAGCUCCCCUAGGGUUUAAUCCGCCCCCCUCCCAUUCCGCCGGCCACCGCCGAUUUAUAGGGUUACGACGGGAGAGCUCACCGGCUAUGGCGCCGCCACCGCCGCGCGAACUCCUGGCCGUCGUCGAGGCGGCGCUGCUCGGUCCCGCACCGGCGUCGCCGGCGCAGCGCGUGGAGCUCCUCCACGCCGUCCGCGAUGCCGCCCCCGCAUUCCGCGCGCUCCUCUCUUACCCGGUGCCAAAGGCGUCCGAUCGAACUCAGGUGGAGGCCAAGGAGGUUCGGCUCUCGGACAUGCCACCAAUCACGCUCGAUGACACCGACGUGCAGACUGCCCUUAAGCUGAGUGAUGAACUCAAUCUUAAUGAAAUUGAGUGUGUUCGCUUGCUAGUUUCUGCCAACAGAGAGUGGGUUCUAUAUGGUCGGGAGCCACUGGAAAUAUAUAGGCUUGCAGCUGGCCUUUGGUACAUGGAGAGGAGAGAUCUGAUAACUUCUCUGUACAUUUUGUUGCGGUCUGUUGUACUUGACCAAGGGCUUGAUGCUGAUCUGAUGUAUGAAAUCCAAAAUCAAAUGGAGGCUCUUUUUAACGAUGGUCUCCGACAGCGGAUAAUCACCCUUGUAAAGGAGCUUAACCGGGAAGAACCAUCUGGCAUUGGCCGACCAAGCUCUGAGCGCUAUGUGCUUGAUUUCAGAGGAGCUCUUGUCGAGAGGCGUGCCAUUGUCUCCCGAGAGAGAUUAAGUUUGAGUCACUGCCUUGCUCUUUCUGCACUUAUCAAACUAAUGGGUCCCAAGGAGGUGAAGGAUACAUUUUCAAUAUUAAAAGACUGCGCAGCUGAAGUAAAUGAAAAUUCUACUGUCGAGCUUCAGAUCACCUAUGGCAUCCUAUUCUCUCUUGUAAUAACUUUUGUUUCUGAUGCCCUAAGUAAUUCCCAUGAGAAAACAUCUUUGCCAUCGUCUGAUUCCUCGUUCAGACAUGAAUUUCAUGAACUAGUGAUGAAGACAUGUAACGAUACCACCGCUGAAGGAUUUGUUGGUGUUGUGCGGCUUGCAUGGACUGUUCUUUUGAUGUUAACACAAGAUCGAAAUAGCGCAAGAGACUCAGUCAUUAAUGCUUCCUCCAGAGCUGUGACUGAUAUUUGGUCAUGUCUGGAUAUUAUCUGUCGUCUGAAUGCUUUUAAAUUUUUACGGGAGCGAGUUAUGCAAGCAGCUGCUUACCAGAAUGACGAUGAUGACAUUGUUUACAUGUACACUGGCUAUGCGCACAAGUUGAUGAUGUGCUUUCUCUCCCAUCCGACUUCUAGAGAUAAGAUAAAAGAAAUCAAGGAAAAAGCAAUGAUUGCUCUCAGCCCAUACUCUCUUCCACGGGAUCAUAGAGAAGAUCCUAAUAUAAGUGGGGAACAGAUUGGUCAGCCUACUAACCAGCCUUUUGUAUCCCUACUGGAACUAGUUGGGGAAAUCUACCAGAAAGAGCCUGAGCUAGUGAAUGGAAACGAGGAACUCUGGACCUUUGUCGUAUAUGCAGGCGAAGAUCACACCAAUACACAAACCCUUGUGGCCUUCCUUGGACUUCUAAGUACUUUGGCUUCCAGUGACGUGGGUGCCGCCAAGGUAUACGAAUUGCUCCAGGGAAAAAUUUACCGCUCAGUUGGAUGGAACACUUUGUUUGAUUGCUUAUCUAUUUACGAAGAGAAGUUUAAGAAAUCCCUUCAAUCUUCCACAAGCAUGUUGCCUGAUUUUCCAGAGGGAGAUGCACAGGCACUUGUUGCGUAUUUAGCUGUCCUUCAGAAGGUGGUGGAAAAUGGAAAUCCAUCUGAAAGAAGGAAAUGGUUCCCUGACAUUGAACCUUUGUUUAAGCUUCUAAGCUAUGAAAAUGUGCCCCCGUAUUUGAAGGGGGCUUUGCGGAAUUCAAUCACUGCAUUUGUCAAAGUUUCACCCCAGUUGAAAGAUGCUGUUUGGAGUUAUCUUGAACAAUAUGAUCUUCCGGUGGUUACGGCACCACCUGGGCAGCAUGUGGCAACACAGGUCUAUGACAUGAGGUUUGAGUUGAAUGAAGUUGAAGCAAGGAGGGAGAGUUAUCCAUCAACCAUAUCAUUUCUCAACUUGGUCAAUGCUCUCAUUGCAGAAGAAAGAAACAUAAGUGACAAAGGCCGGAGGUUCAUGGGUAUCUUUAAAUUUGUAUAUGAGGAUGUCUUUGGGCCUUUUCCCCAAAGAGCCUAUGCUGACCCUCGGGAAAAGUGGGAAUUAGCACUGGCCUGCUUGGAGCACUUUCAUAUGGUUUUGCGCAUGUACGACAUAAAGGAUGAUGAUAUUUAUGCUGCUUUUAACACGUCUGGGCCUUCAACAUCAAAUGCCUCAGUCGAGAAACAGCUCCCGGUGCUAGAACUUGUGAAAGAUUUCAUGUGUGGGAAGGUUGCAUUCCGCAAUAUUAUGAACAUCAUACUAAUGGGUGUUGACACUCUUAUUAAUGAACGGACUACCCAAACUUACGGGAUUCUUCUGGAGAAAGCUGUCCAUCUUUCACUUGAAAUAUUUAUUCUCGUAAUGGAGAGAGAUCUGGUUCUUGCUGAUGUUUUCCGUCCACUCUACCAGCCCUUGGAGAUCAUAUUAUCUCAAAAUCAUAGACAAAUUAUAUCUUUGCUAGAGUUUGUUCGAUAUGAUUAUCUUCCUCAAAUUCAGCAGUGUUCAAUAAAAAUUAUGGGCAUCCUGAGUUCUAGAAUAGUUGGGCUUGUACAGUUGCUUCUGAAAGAAGAUGUUGCUAAAUCUGUAAUUGAGGAUUACGCUGCUUGCUUGGAGUUCCGUUUUGACGAUUUCCAGGUCAUAGAGAACACAAAAGAUGACGUCGGUGUUCUAAUACUGCAGCUACUUAUUGACAAUAUUUAUCGUCCAGCUCCCAACAUUACACAUUUACUCCUAAGAUUUGAUGUCAAUGGACCUAUAGAACGAACUGUUCUAAAACCAAAAUCCCACUACAGUUGUUUAAAGAUAAUCCUUGACAAUCUCGAAAAGGUGACAAAGCCAGAUAUAAAUGCUUUACUUCACGAGUUCAGUUUUCAGCUGAUGUACGAGUUAUGUCUUGAUCCUUUAACUUGUGGACCUGUCAUGGAUCUCCUGAGUACAACGAAGUACCAGUUCUUUUCAAAGCAUGUUGGGACCAUCGGUGUUUCACCACUUCCCAAAAGGAACAAUAAUCAAGCUCUUCGCAUCAGCAUGCUCCAUGAGAGGGCGUGGUUGCUAAAGAUACAAGCAUUGGCACUACAUGUAUCUGAUAUAUCAUCAUCUGUGUAUCGGGAAGCUUGUUUGGCUAUUCUCAAUGAUACUUUUGGUCACUGCGCUGAGAACAUGAAGAAUGCAAGCAUGUUCCAAUCUCCUGGCACUCCCAUUUGCACUAGCAGUGGGCUGAUGAAUAGAAAUAAGGUUUUGGAAUUGCUUGAAGUUGUACAGUUCAGAUGUCCAGACACUUCAAUGAAAUACCCUCAAUUGCUUUCAAAUCUGAGAGUUGAAUCAAAGAUUGAAGAGAUCCUACGGAAUUCUGCAACAUCUGAAUUUGGCGGUGUAUAUUAUUUUUCGGAGAGAGGUGAUCGACUGAUUGAUCUGGAUGCGUUCCAUCAAAAGCUUAUCCAGAUGUCACAAGAACUGCAAACACAAUUGAGCGAGUCUGAGAAAGGAGAGCUAAAAGAAUCGUUCCAUCAUUUGCUGAAAUGGGCCUGGAGAUAUAACAAAAAUCUUGAAGAACAGGCAGCCCAGCUUCACAUGUUAACUAGCUGGUCUCAAAUUGUUGAAGUAGCUGUAUCAAGGAGGAUGUCAUUGCUUGAGAAUCGUUCACAGUUAUUGUUUGAGUUGCUUGACGCUUCAUUGGGUGCCACAUCAUCUCCAGACUGUUCAGUGAAAAUGGCGUAUAUUUUAACCAAUGUAGCAUUGACCUGUAUGGCUAAACUGCGGGAUGAAAGAUUCAUAUGCCCAACUGGUGCAGAUUCUGAUGCAGUUUCGUGCCUUGACAUUAUUUCGGCAAAACAGUUGUCAAAUGCUGCCUGUAACUCAUUGUUGUUCAAGCUCAUUAUGGCAAUAAUGAGAAAUGAAUCGUCUGAAACCUUGAGAAGACGCCAAUAUGCAUUACUAUUGAGUUACUUCCAGUAUUGUGGUAGCAUUCUCGACUCUGAUGUUCCUCCGUCAGUUAUCCGUUUCUUGCUACUUGAAGAACAGGAGGGAGAUGAUGAUGAACUCACUCUUCAAAAUGUUCUGAAGGAGCAAAGUGAAUUAGCACGCGCCAACUUUGCUAUCAUAAGGAAGGAAGCUCAAGCGGUCAUCGAUUUGGUUACUAAGGAUGCUAUCCAUGGGAGCGAAACUGGGAAAGCAAUUUCGUUCUAUGUUCUUGAUUCAUUAGUUAGUAUUGACCAUGAAAAGUAUUUCUUAAACCAGCUUCAAAGUCGAGGAAUUCUCAGAUCAUGUCUAACUGAUGUUAGCAACUAUUUGUCAAAGGACAUGUCAUUCUCAUCAGAGUUUUCACAGCGGUUUUGCACUAUUGAUGCUCAGUUUUCAUUACUUCUGAGAAUCACUCACCAUUAUGGCAAACAUGGCUCUCAGAUUUUGUUAUCCAUGGGUGCUUUACAAAAUCUUUCAUCGUGCAACCUCUUGGGUUAUCAGAAAAAGGGAAGUUCAAGGCUAAACUCUAAUGUUGUGAAGGAACGAGCUGGGGAAACUGACAAGAAGUGGUCACUUACUGCACCAGUACUGCGGAUAAUCACAUCUUUCACAUCCCUCGUGGACUCAGCUGAUUUUCUUGAGGUGAAGAACAAAAUUGUACGUGAGAUAGUGGAUUUUGCCAAGCAGCAUCAGUCCAUUUUUAAUAGCAUUUUAAGAGAGAACAUAUCUGAAGCUAAUGCCUUCAGCUUGGAGCGGCUUAAUAUGGUGGUUUCUAUUCUCAGCAAGAUAUGGGCAUACGAGGAAAAUGAUGAAUGCAGCUACAUCCAAGAUCUAUUCUCCAUGAUGCAUUCUCUUUUUAGUCUUGAUUUUGGAUCUCUGAAUUUCAUUCAAUCACCAAAUAUGAUUGAGAAUCAGAAGUCAGAGUUGGUAUUAUUUGGUAUCUGCUUUGGCCUAAUCUCUUACCUAUAUUUUCUGGCUACAAAGAAGAACAUGCGGUUUCAAAUUUCAGACGGUGAUAACAACAAACUUGGUCAGCAGCAACCAACACUACAAAUGGUUUCAAAUCUUCUGAACUCUAUAACACUUGCUCUUGAGAGAGUAGGUGAAGAAAAAUAUUUGUUGUUGAAUAAGGUUCGUGAUUUGAAUGAGUUAUCUAGGAAGGAGGUCGAUGAGAUAAUAAAAGUAUGCAUGAAGCAAGAUUGCAUCUCGCCCAACGAUAACAUCCGUAAAAGGAGAUAUAUUGCAAUGAUAGAUUUGUGUUGCAUGGCUGGCAACCGAGACCAGCUUAUAACACUUCUACUCCAAGUCGCUGAAUGUGCCAUCACUAUUCUCCUUGUUCAUUUCCACGAUGAAGCUUGUGCAGAAGACUUGUCUUCAUUUUCCGAUGAACUACUCCCUUUAUUGGAGAGGUUAGAGCAUUUAAAAGAGGAAGUAUAGAAGAAGGUAGUAAGAUGCAACACGUCUUUCCACAAGGCCACGGUGCCAGUGACAAUCUUCGCACUUAUGCUUGCAGAUUGUGUCACUGAUGUAGAUGGUUCAGUGCUUCUUGAUCACCAUGGAAGCAAAUUUUCUGUUUAACUGAUGCAAAUCUUCACAAUUGCGGAAAUUAUAUAUUUCCUUUUUGUAUUGAAAAAAAUAUGUUUGUAUGAAAGCAAUUCUCUGAUAUAUGAAAAUAGUAUCAUAAUGAUUUAGAAGC
RNAcentral lists this ribosomal RNA (5849 nucleotides) under Triticum aestivum (bread wheat). RNAcentral describes it as "partial small subunit ribosomal RNA". The record is from RNAcentral. Lineage: Eukaryota; Viridiplantae; Streptophyta; Magnoliopsida; Poales; Poaceae.